Molecule: non-coding RNA, 173 nt
Organism: Anopheles gambiae (African malaria mosquito)
Lineage: Eukaryota; Metazoa; Arthropoda; Insecta; Diptera; Culicidae
Source: Rfam
GCCUGAUUUGAAAACAUAAUUGGCUGAUCUCCUCAUACGUCUUAGUGCCUAAUACGGGUAUGGCCGGUCCAUGGCGAACAGAACGGUAACAUAUCUCUCCAAUAAUAUGAGCUUGGGCACACGGGGAAACCCAACCCCUUGGGAAGAUGGGUUAUAUGGCUAAAUUGAGCGGG